AUGCCGGCCGGGGUGGAGGCGACUCGGCGGCUGGUGUCCGCCAAUCCCCAGGCGAACGUGAUCGUCUUCGGCGCGCC
RNAcentral lists this transfer RNA (77 nucleotides) under Amycolatopsis acidiphila. Its description in RNAcentral is "tRNA-Thr". Lineage: Bacteria; Bacillati; Actinomycetota; Actinomycetes; Pseudonocardiales; Pseudonocardiaceae. The record is from RNAcentral.